AUUGAACGCUGGCGGCAGGCCUAACACAUGCAAGUCGAGCGGUAGAGAGAAGCUUGUUUCUCUUGAGAGCGGCGGACGGGUGAGUAAUGCCUAGGAAUCUGCCUGGUAGUGGGGGAUAACGUUCGGAAACGGACGCUAAUACCGCAUACGUCCUACGGGAGAAAGCAGGGGACCUUCGGGCCUUGCGCUAUCAGAUGAGCCUAGGUCGGAUUAGCUAGUUGGUGAGGUAAUGGCUCACCAAGGCGACGAUCCGUAACUGGUCUGAGAGGAUGAUCAGUCACACUGGAACUGAGACACGGUCCAGACUCCUACGGGAGGCAGCAGUGGGGAAUAUUGGACAAUGGGCGAAAGCCUGAUCCAGCCAUGCCGCGUGUGUGAAGAAGGUCUUCGGAUUGUAAAGCACUUUAAGUUGGGAGGAAGGGCAUUAACCUAAUACGUUAGUGUUUUGACGUUACCGACAGAAUAAGCACCGGCUAACUCUGUGC
RNAcentral lists this ribosomal RNA (485 nucleotides) under uncultured bacterium. RNAcentral's name for it is "bacterial SSU rRNA". It matches the Rfam family "Bacterial small subunit ribosomal RNA", at positions 30 to 508 of the family's 1533-position model. The record is from RNAcentral.